ACUUGCUGAGGGUCAAAGUGAUUACUGUGUUUGAGGUUCAAAACUGUUUUUUCCUCAGAUCAGAGAGCAAGGACCUGGAUUCUUUUUGCCAUCCUCUACAGUAGUGUGUUGCUGAUUGCCUGCUGGUAUCAUGGAGGCACAGCUCACCCAAGCCCUUCUCUGCCAUUGAUGAGCCAUCAGACAACAGCAGGAUCGGUCUAUCCCAUCCCGACUUUUGACUGAGACCCUAUAGUCUUGAGACAACCAAGAUAUGUUGCCUAACCAAGUCGUCAGACCCAGUACUCGGAUGAAAUCUGAUGGUCUGUGAUUGCCAAGCCAGGACUCAGACAUCACUACCAGAAACAUGCUCCGAUUGUGCCAGGCCCACAGGGAGAAAUGGUCCAUCAUCUGAGGACUUCACAAUUGAAAUGGCCAAGACAGAUGGACACCUGGGGUGCAGAAGGACUGACCACCAUGCUUGCACCUCUCAUCUGGACCACUCGAGUGUCCUCCUUGCCCCUGACUGUGGUUUCCGCUGCCUGCCACAUUGUAGUGAAGCGUGACAUGAACAAUUAUCUCUUGCUUCACAAGCAAGCACCAAGAAGCUGGAGGAGUCCUCUCCCUCCCCUGACCCACCCUGUAGUACUGUCCUCUUCAGGUCAGGUCCUUCUCCAUGGGAGCUCCAUCCCAGCAUGAGCAUGGUGCAACUUAUUCAGCUUUCAAAAUGAUUUGCAGGUCACAGUUUUUACUGUUUGACCCCUGAGUUGCAGCCUUUCGCCAUUGUGUAUACAUACUGUUCUUUUGCCAAGCAAACGGCAGUUUUUCUUUGCUGAAGGGAUAAAGGCAAAAAUUUACUCCCAGAGAGAAAGGGGAACUUUUCUUGUCCUUUUUUUGCCCCUUUUUGUAGUGCUGGCACCAAGCCAACUCACUGUGUUUUACUUUCUUUCCUCUGUAUGUGUGAAUUUUUUUUUUUUUUUUUGCACAGCUCCAAAGGAAAAGGAUUUCUCAGUCUUAACAUCCUGUUCACUUCUGCAUACUUUUGAAUGCUCAUUAUUAAAAGCUAGCUAUUUAUACACAGGAACAAAGUACAUUCCACUAACCCCUUGUGGCAUAACUCUGCAUGCUGACUGCUAAUCUCUGGAAAGGUGAAUUGAAUGUAUGACAGAGAGCUUUUUAUAGGGAUUGAAUACCCACUGUACAUCAACACAGUAAUACCCUUUUAAAAUUCUCUUUGCUAUCAUGUCUUUGGAAAUAUGAAAGGAAAACCUUUCAACAACCUCAUUCCCUCUGACUCUAAUCUUGAUUGUGUUGAGAGGGAUAGGUGCCAGAUAACUGUAUUGGUGGAAACAAAGAUAAGAAGGCUGUGCAUACCAUAAACAGUUAUAUUGCUUGAAUUAUGUUCUUGGACAGAUGCAGUGACAAUACCAGGACAGCAUUAAUAGGGUGAGCGGUUAAUUUACCUGCCUGGUAUCUUUCAAAAAGAUCAAGUUGCAUUUCAUUACUGGAAAAUUCCUAAUGACCUAAAAUGAAUCAAGAACAAGUGCAUUAUCUCAAAAUCACCCGUCUGACAAUACAACACAGUGGGCAACUCACAAGGAGACGUUAAUUUAAGUGAUGUCUUUGUGCAUCUCACAAAAGGGACUGGGGUUGAAAACAAGAUGUCAAAGCAAUCUCUCAGCUGAAGAAUAGAAGGAUCCUUCAGAGAGGAUUUGAAUGUUUUGGGUCCAUCUACUCUUGGAAUAUCUUUAAGACAAAAGAUUGGUGCCCAAGGUGCAAUUCAACAUUUUUGCUUUGAUUUUCACCUUUUUUAUAUUCCCAUCAAAGGAUACAUGAUGCCCCCUCCGAUUCACAGCUGGUACAUUGGUUUCGAACCCAACUGAAUCACGCUUUUAAUCUUGAUGGAAGCUUCUUCCACCUGCCUACCCCAAAAAUGCUUUAGUGUAUGCACAGCUGUGACUGCAGUUCCACCUGGCAUUCACCCACCUGAGUGUUUGCUCUGAGCCUUAAGAAACAAAAAAAUCUACCCACACAACAGUGUCUCCACAGAGCAUCAUGCCCCAGGUCUCCAGGAGGGGAUUCUGGUGAUACCAUGUCAUGACUUGCACCAGUAUAUUGUGGGAAUGGAGCAGGCACAGCACUUCAUUCGAAGUCCCAGCCUUUCAAGAGGACAGAGGCUGUGAUGCCAUCCCACCUCAUUUGUAGAGACUCUGAUAAAUGCAUCGCCCAGUUUUCAUAGGUCCUCAUUCUUGUACUGUGCUGGUACAAACUGUUUCAGAAAGCCUUGGCAAAAGAGAGCAGAAAAAGUAGCCCUUCUUAACCCAGUUUACUUGACAGUUUCCAUAACAACUUGACACAGCUAUUUAUAUAGCAGGAGAAUAUAAUUUGCGUUUCAUCAUUUUUAGAACCUUUGUUGCCAUAUCAACCUCAGCGCCAUGUAGCAGAGCACAGCCCCAUUCAAUUCUCUCUUGUUUGCUCAGAAAGAAACUUCUCUCUCAAAUUGAAAUUCAGUUGGUCUCAGAAGGACCCUUGAGAGGCCUGUGUGUCACUUUUAAAGUAUCAUUUGAGUCCUAAUUCAAAUGGGCUUGUGCCUAUGUGACCUAUCUGCACCAGACGGAUGCUACCAUCUGCACUGGGAAGCGAAGAUGAGGACAGGAUGGACAAGCAGACCAGCAGAUUGCUUAUCUUGCUUGGGAAGCAAAUAAUCAGAGGGACUUGGCAGAUGCUGACUUUCUCUGUGAUGGGUGGGGAGGGAAAAACUAAUUUUGAAAUAUCAGGGUUUCAAAGGCUUGGUGCUAGCAUUCCUGAGUCAGCAUUUUAGGAGGGAGAUUGGGUGUCAAGGAGUUCCAGCAAAGAGCAAGGUUAGGAUGCAGUGAAAGUAAGGAUGGGUAGAAAAGCGGCAGAAGACAGCUGCCAAGAAAGAGACUGCAUUCCCAGAGGAGAAGGAGAGGAACCUUCCUGGUGUGAGCUCAGGUGCUGCUCAGUCCUGUAUUCAUUCCCCGCAAUGCUAAGCACCAAAAGGCAGCUCAGAAGGAGGCAGACCUCCCCAAAGCACAGCUCAGGUGGGGAUUAGGUGUCUCCCAAUACCUCUCUUUGAAGGAAGCCAUGGUGAUUAGGCACUUCAGUUAAGUCCUUACAGCCAGGGGAAACGAAUUGAGGCCUCAGGUUCUCACCAAGGUUUUAUUUGCAGUUCCUGCUGGCUGGUCCAGCAAGUGCUUAUCACUCGCAUAGCUACGGUCUGUCUGGGGAAGUUCCCUCCCGGGUCAGAAUAGAAUUAAUUUUAAAAUAUACAAUGUGCAAUCACAAGUAUCUAUAAUCCACCUGAAACCUUCGGCUGACUAAAAGCAUUCAAAUAAUCCUUUGGCUGUCCUGCACUUUGUCACUCACACUUCCUCCUCCUGUCGGGAGAUGGCAGGUCUGUUGUCCAUGCCCUGACACCCCACUGUCUCAACCUGCUGUGGUUGCUACUUUGCCAAGACACACCUGUUCAAAAUAGGUGUCCCCCAUCUCCCCUCCUCCUGAGAUCUGAAGGUGUCUAUGUAGUCCCUGGAGCAGGCAUCCAUUUGGCACAGCAAACUUCAUACAAAGAAGGUGACCAAUCGCCAUAGUGCCAGUGAUUUAGCCUGCCUUCCACCAGCAGAAAUGAACACAACAGCAUUUCUAAGAAGCAGUGUCAGCUCCUGGUUUGCAUUAGUCGUACUGUUCUGUCUUGUCUUAAUCGUCUCAGUAUUUCUACAGGGUCUCCAGUGAGACUGAAAAGCAUGUUAGCAGCUCCAGCACGGCUGGGUUUAGCUAUCUGUGUCAGCAGAUGAGAACCUCUGCCUCAGGGAUGAGUUUUGUCAUGUAGCAGUGCUGAAUACAGACUCCGCUGGCUUUAUUAAUAGCAGCCCUAUUAUUUUAACAUGAUGUUCUACCAACCCCUUGGACUGGGGACAAUAGGAAAUGGCACUUACAUGUUUAAAUCUGCGGCACACUGAACUGUUUGAAUCUGUAUGAUUCAUUGUCAGACAGUACUAUGUCAGGCACUGCAGGCAAAAUAAAAAAGACGGCAUAUGCAUGAUCUAUAUCUGUUCUACACGUAAGCUGUAUGAAAUGCAUCCUGCCCAACUUCUGCUUGCAGAAGCCAUAAAUGAACUCCAUGUAUCCUUUAAAGCAUUCUUGGUAAGAUCUUGGGAAGUGCCAACCUGGUGCUUUUAACCAUAAGCCCAGAUGGUGCUAGGAGCUCUCUAUUGUCUUGUCUGCAGGCGCUUGGAGGAUGUCUGGCCAGCUACUGGAAGGAAACAGCUUUAGGUAUGUUCUGGAAGAGGUCAUGUGAUUCCUAAACCCAUGAGUUAUCACCCACACUUCAUCAAAAAACAGAAAGUUUUGGAGUUUUGGGGUGGGUUUUCUUCAUACUGACAAGUACUAGUUUAGCCCUGAGAAAUAUGGGAAGAUUUGUGCCCUGGUUUUAGCUGGGAUAGAGUUAAUUUUCUUUCUAGUAGCUAGUAUAGUGUUAUGUUUUGGAUUUAGUAUGAGAAUAAUGUUGAUAACACACUGAUGUUUUCAGUUGUUGCUAAGUAAUGUUUAGUCUAAAGUCAAGGACUUUUCAGCUUCUGAUGCCCAGCCAGCAAGAAGGCUGGAGGGGCACAAGAAGUUAGGAGGGGACACAGCCAGGGCAGCUGACCCGAACUGUCCAAAGGAAUAUUCCAUACCAUGUGACAUCAUGCCCAGUAUAUAAACUGGGAGGAGUUGGUUUGGGGGGGGGCGGAUUGCUGCUUGGGAACUAACUGGGCAUCAGUGGGCAAGUGGUGAGCAAUUGCAUUGUGCAUCACUUGUUUUGUAUAUUCCAAUUCUAUUACUAUUAUUAUUAUCAUUGUUGUUAUUAUUAUUAU
Harpia harpyja (harpy eagle) is the source of this 4847-nucleotide RNA transcript. It is a transcript of the gene named G protein-coupled receptor 132, with no coding region annotated. The transcript is spliced from 2 exons. The record is from RefSeq and is a predicted model, not a curated record. NCBI's taxonomy places the organism in Eukaryota, Metazoa, Chordata, Aves, Accipitriformes, Accipitridae.